RNAcentral lists this small RNA (147 nucleotides) under Paenibacillus larvae. RNAcentral describes it as "c-di-AMP sequence". It matches the Rfam family "c-di-AMP riboswitch aptamer (ydaO/yuaA leader)". From Rfam's summary of the family: This family represents a conserved RNA structure found upstream of the ydaO and yuaA genes in Bacillus subtilis and related genes in other bacteria. The ydaO/yuaA element is thought to act as a genetic "off" switch for the ydaO and yuaA genes in its native state. RNAcentral also lists the same sequence under 1 other name. Lineage: Bacteria; Bacillati; Bacillota; Bacilli; Caryophanales; Paenibacillaceae. The record is from RNAcentral.
UUUUAAUAAUAGCCGAAUCCUGCUUUUCUACAUCGGAAACAGGUACGGGGGACGAUAUACUUGGGGUGAAUUUGCGACAUUUGUGCAUUAGGGAAUUCCUCUUCCCGAACCCGUCAACUAACCCCGGAGGCUACGUAUAGGAGGUAA